UAGAGGUUCAAAUUUAAGGUGUUGACUAGUAAAAGGUUAUAUAAAGAUGUUGAUUAAGAAUAAAGAUGCAUGUGACUGUGUGACCAAUAAGCUUGUUGCCAUGUAAUGACCUCCACGCUGAAUGGACGUUAAUUACAAAGAGAAACUUCCUAUAUUUGCUUCAGUCAAUAUUAUGAUUCCUUCUUGGGUAAUAUGGCUUUCAAUUAAUUAAAACUAAUUACUAAGUUUCAUUUCCCA
RNAcentral lists this long non-coding RNA (237 nucleotides) under Carica papaya (papaya). RNAcentral describes it as "long non-coding RNA (CPAP_LNC010811)". The record is from RNAcentral. Lineage: Eukaryota; Viridiplantae; Streptophyta; Magnoliopsida; Brassicales; Caricaceae.